This 73-nucleotide transfer RNA is filed under the name Caerostris extrusa. RNAcentral's name for it is "tRNA-Arg". It matches the Rfam family "tRNA". From Rfam's summary of the family: Transfer RNA (tRNA) molecules are approximately 80 nucleotides in length. The record is from RNAcentral. Lineage: Eukaryota; Metazoa; Arthropoda; Arachnida; Araneae; Araneidae.
GGGUCAGUGGCACAACGGAUAACGCGCCUGACUACGGAUCAGGUGAUUCCGCAUUCGAAUCGUGGUUGGCUCC